Molecule: long non-coding RNA, 1002 nt
Filed under: Carica papaya (papaya)
Lineage: Eukaryota; Viridiplantae; Streptophyta; Magnoliopsida; Brassicales; Caricaceae
Description: long non-coding RNA (CPAP_LNC014183)
Source: RNAcentral
UUGAGAUAGUAGGUUUAUUGUUGGUCCAAGCAAAUGGUAGCUUUGAUGUUUUCACGAGGAACCUAGUUCUUUGUGGUAGAGGGUGAUCAUGAGUAUCUGCAAUGGUUGCAAUAAUGGGUGGGAUGCAUUAACAAUGCGAGCAGCAUCUCCCAUGUAUAUCAUGAAAGUUGAAAAUGGUUCAUGAGUUUUAUUAUAGGAGGAUCAUUCGAUCAGAAAUGGCUUGUUGUAUAACCAAUAUCCUAGUUUAUAUAACAUUUAAAUAUAAAGCAUCCAUCUCAGAGUUUGUUCUGCUCACCAAUGAAACUGUUGCCUGGGAAUUACACUUUUUUAGAUGCCUUUUUAAUAGGAGGACCAGGACUUGUCAACCCUGUUAAACAUGCUUGAGAUUUUAUCAGUCUUCCCUGCAACUUUACUGCGUUCUUAGACCCUAGAACCAUUCAGCAUAUAUACCUGCAGAUCCUUCUAUCAACAUAUCAUCUAGGACACUAAUUAUUAUCAAUUGCCUUUGGUUAAUGUGUUUUGGAAAGUUUAGGUUCCUUGAAAGAUUAAGGUGUUUACCUAUCUGUGACCCUUAAGAGACUCAAUGCUAAUGAGAUGUUGUAAAUGCAUAGACUGAAUCAAGCUCUUUCUCCUAAUGUUUGUCCUAUGUGUAGAUGCGAGAGCGAGACACAUACUUACUUUUUUUUUUCACCGUGAUACAACAUGGAGAUUGUGUGCUAGAUUGUUUGGAAUGUUUGGAUUGACUUGGAUUUCUCCACCAUCCGUUGAGUGCGAUAGAGAUACAACUAUACAGGAAAUUGGAGUGAGGAAGCCCCCCCAACCCCUUUGACAAGGGCUUUUCUUACAGGCUUGUGGGUAGCAAUUGAAGAAUUCUUGAGGACAAUUUGACCUCUAGUGGGAUGGUUUGUGCAUUUAUUUUUGCAUUUCUUUGUGCUUGAUUUAUUGUUCUUGAGCCCUAUUACAAGACAUUAGGAGGAUGAUGUAUUCUUCGAAUUUAUAAUU